Molecule: ribosomal RNA, 1789 nt
Filed under: Salmonella enterica subsp. enterica serovar Saintpaul
Lineage: Bacteria; Pseudomonadati; Pseudomonadota; Gammaproteobacteria; Enterobacterales; Enterobacteriaceae
Description: partial 23S ribosomal RNA
Rfam family: Bacterial large subunit ribosomal RNA
Source: RNAcentral
GGGUUGUGAGGUUAAGCGACUAAGCGUACACGGUGGAUGCCCUGGCAGUCAGAGGCGAUGAAGGGCGUGCUAAUCUGCGAUAAGCGCCGGUAAGGUGAUAUGAACCGUUAUAACCGGCGAUACCCGAAUGGGGAAACCCAGUGUGAUUCGUCACACUAUCAUUAACUGAAUCCAUAGGUUAAUGAGGCGAACCGGGGGAACUGAAACAUCUAAGUACCCCGAGGAAAAGAAAUCAACCGAGAUUCCCCCAGUAGCGGCGAGCGAACGGGGAGGAGCCCAGAGCCUGAAUCAGCAUGUGUGUUAGUGGAAGCGUCUGGAAAGGCGCGCGAUACAGGGUGACAGCCCCGUACACAAAAGCGCAUGUGCUGUGAGCUCGAUGAGUAGGGCGGGACACGUGGUAUCCUGUCUGAAUAUGGGGGGACCAUCCUCCAAGGCUAAAUACUCCUGACUGACCGAUAGUGAACCAGUACCGUGAGGGAAAGGCGAAAAGAACCCCGGCGAGGGGAGUGAAAAAGAACCUGAAACCGUGUACGUACAAGCAGUGGGAGCACAGGUUUACCUGUGUGACUGCGUACCUUUUGUAUAAUGGGUCAGCGACUUAUAUUCUGUAGCAAGGUUAACCGUAUAGGGGAGCCGGAGGGAAACCGAGUCUUAAUUGGGCGUUAAGUUGCAGGGUAUAGACCCGAAACCCGGUGAUCUAGCCAUGGGCAGGUUGAAGGUUGGGUAACACUAACUGGAGGACCGAACCGACUAAUGUUGAAAAAUUAGCGGAUGACCUGUGGCUGGGGGUGAAAGGCCAAUCAAACCGGGAGAUAGCUGGUUCUCCCCGAAAGCUAUUUAGGUAGCGCCUCGUGAAUUCAUCUCCGGGGGUAGAGCACUGUUUCGGCUAGGGGGCCAUCCCGGCUUACCAACCCGAUGCAAACUGCGAAUACCGGAGAAUGUUAUCACGGGAGACACACGGCGGGUGCUAACGUCCGUCGUGAAGAGGGAAACAACCCAGACCGCCAGCUAAGGUCCCAAAGUCAUGGUUAAGUGGGAAACGAUGUGGGAAGGCCCAGACAGCCAGGAUGUUGGCUUAGAAGCAGCCAUCAUUUAAAGAAAGCGUAAUAGCUCACUGGUCGAGUCGGCCUGCGCGGAAGAUGUAACGGGGCUAAACCAUGCACCGAAGCUGCGGCAGCGAACGUAUCACCCAAGACAACUUUACGGAGUUGACGAUUGACGGAGCGAAGCGACGUCAAAGCGUUCAUUAAAGUCGAGUUGGCUUAGGGAUACGUUCGUUGGGUAGGGGAGCGUUCUGUAAGCCUGUGAAGGUGUGUCGUGAGGCAUGCUGGAGGUAUCAGAAGUGCGAAUGCUGACAUAAGUAACGAUAAAGCGGGUGAAAAGCCCGCUCGCCGGAAGACCAAGGGUUCCUGUCCAACGUUAAUCGGGGCAGGGUGAGUCGACCCCUAAGGCGAGGCCGAAAGGCGUAGUCGAUGGGAAACGGGUUAAUAUUCCCGUACUUGGUGUUACUGCGAAGGGGGGACGGAGAAGGCUAUGUUGGCCGGGCGACGGUUGUCCCGGUUUAAGCGUGUAGGUGUGUGUUCCAGGUAAAUCCGGUUCACUUUAACACUGAGGCGUGACGACGAGGCACUACGGUGCUGAAGCAACAAAUGCCCUGCUUCCAGGAAAAGCCUCUAAGCAUCAGGUAACAUCAAAUCGUACCCCAAACCGACACAGGUGGUCAGGUAGAGAAUACCAAGGCGCUUGAGAGAACUCGGGUGAAGGAACUAGGCAAAAUGGUGCCGUAACU